UACGUAGGGGGCAAGCGUUGUCCGGAAUCAUUGGGCGUAAAGCGCGCGUAGGCGGCCCGGUAAGUCCGCUGUGAAAGUCAAAGGCUCAACCUUUGAAUGUCAGCGGAUACUGCCGGGCUAGAGUCCGGAAGAGGCGAGUGGAACUCCUGGUGUAGCGGUGGAAUGCGCAGAUAUCAGGAAGAACACCAACGGCGAAGGCAGCUCGCUGGGACGUUACUGACGCUGAGACGCGAAAGCGUGGGGAGCAAACAGG
RNAcentral lists this ribosomal RNA (253 nucleotides) under uncultured bacterium. Its description in RNAcentral is "partial 16S ribosomal RNA". It matches the Rfam family "Bacterial small subunit ribosomal RNA", at positions 524 to 776 of the family's 1533-position model. The record is from RNAcentral.